GACGAACGCUGGCGGCGUGCUUAACACAUGCAAGUCGAGCGAGAACCGGACCUUCGGGUCCGGGGACAGCGGCGAACGGGUGAGUAACACGUGGGCAACCUGCCCUGGAGACUGGGAUAACGUCCCGAAAGGGACGCUAAUACCGGAUGACGCGUGGUCCGCCAAGUGGACUACGCCAAAUGGUAGCUUCGGCUUCUGCUCUGGGGAUGGGCCCGCGCCGGAUUAGCUUGUUGGUGAGGUAACGGCUCACCAAGGCAACGAUCCGUAGCUGGUCUGAGAGGACGAUCAGCCACACUGGGACUGAGACACGGCCCAGACUCCUACGGGUGGCUG
This 333-nucleotide ribosomal RNA is filed under the name uncultured Actinomycetes bacterium. RNAcentral's name for it is "bacterial SSU rRNA". It matches the Rfam family "Bacterial small subunit ribosomal RNA", at positions 28 to 351 of the family's 1533-position model. The record is from RNAcentral. Lineage: Bacteria; Bacillati; Actinomycetota; Actinomycetes.